RNAcentral lists this ribosomal RNA (2930 nucleotides) under Escherichia coli. RNAcentral's name for it is "bacterial LSU rRNA". It matches the Rfam family "Bacterial large subunit ribosomal RNA". Lineage: Bacteria; Pseudomonadati; Pseudomonadota; Gammaproteobacteria; Enterobacterales; Enterobacteriaceae. The record is from RNAcentral.
GGGUUGUGAGGUUAAGCGACUAAGCGUACACGGUGGAUGCCCUGGCAGUCAGAGGCGAUGAAGGACGUGCUAAUCUGCGAUAAGCGUCGGUAAGGUGAUAUGAACCGUUAUAACCGGCGAUUUCCGAAUGGGGAAACCCAGUGUGAUUCGUCACACUAUCAUUAACUGAAUCCAUAGGUUAAUGAGGCGAACCGGGGGAACUGAAACAUCUAAGUACCCCGAGGAAAAGAAAUCAACCGAGAUUCCCCCAGUAGCGGCGAGCGAACGGGGAGCAGCCCAGAGCCUGAAUCAGUGUGUGUGUUAGUGGAAGCGUCUGGAAAGGCGCGCGAUACAGGGUGACAGCCCCGUACACAAAAAUGCACAUGCUGUGAGCUCGAUGAGUAGGGCGGGACACGUGGUAUCCUGUCUGAAUAUGGGGGGACCAUCCUCCAAGGCUAAAUACUCCUGACUGACCGAUAGUGAACCAGUACCGUGAGGGAAAGGCGAAAAGAACCCCGGCGAGGGGAGUGAAAAAGAACCUGAAACCGUGUACGUACAAGCAGUGGGAGCACGCUUAGGCGUGUGACUGCGUACCUUUUGUAUAAUGGGUCAGCGACUUAUAUUCUGUAGCAAGGUUAACCGAAUAGGGGAGCCGAAGGGAAACCGAGUCUUAACUGGGCGUUAAGUUGCAGGGUAUAGACCCGAAACCCGGUGAUCUAGCCAUGGGCAGGUUGAAGGUUGGGUAACACUAACUGGAGGACCGAACCGACUAAUGUUGAAAAAUUAGCGGAUGACUUGUGGCUGGGGGUGAAAGGCCAAUCAAACCGGGAGAUAGCUGGUUCUCCCCGAAAGCUAUUUAGGUAGCGCCUCGUGAAUUCAUCUCCGGGGGUAGAGCACUGUUUCGGCAAGGGGGUCAUCCCGACUUACCAACCCGAUGCAAACUGCGAAUACCGGAGAAUGUUAUCACGGGAGACACACGGCGGGUGCUAACGUCCGUCGUGAAGAGGGAAACAACCCAGACCGCCAGCUAAGGUCCCAAAGUCAUGGUUAAGUGGGAAACGAUGUGGGAAGGCCCAGACAGCCAGGAUGUUGGCUUAGAAGCAGCCAUCAUUUAAAGAAAGCGUAAUAGCUCACUGGUCGAGUCGGCCUGCGCGGAAGAUGUAACGGGGCUAAACCAUGCACCGAAGCUGCGGCAGCGACACUAUGUGUUGUUGGGUAGGGGAGCGUUCUGUAAGCCUGUGAAGGUGUACUGUGAGGUAUGCUGGAGGUAUCAGAAGUGCGAAUGCUGACAUAAGUAACGAUAAAGCGGGUGAAAAGCCCGCUCGCCGGAAGACCAAGGGUUCCUGUCCAACGUUAAUCGGGGCAGGGUGAGUCGACCCCUAAGGCGAGGCCGAAAGGCGUAGUCGAUGGGAAACAGGUUAAUAUUCCUGUACUUGGUGUUACUGCGAAGGGGGGACGGAGAAGGCUAUGUUGGCCGGGCGACGGUUGUCCCGGUUUAAGCGUGUAGGCUGGUUUUCCAGGCAAAUCCGGAAAAUCAAGGCUGAGGCGUGAUGACGAGGCACUACGGUGCUGAAGCAACAAAUGCCCUGCUUCCAGGAAAAGCCUCUAAGCAUCAGGUAACAUCAAAUCGUACCCCAAACCGACACAGGUGGUCAGGUAGAGAAUACCAAGGCGCUUGAGAGAACUCGGGUGAAGGAACUAGGCAAAAUGGUGCCGUAACUUCGGGAGAAGGCACGCUGAUAUGUAGGUGAAGUCCCUCGCGGAUGGAGCUGAAAUCAGUCGAAGAUACCAGCUGGCUGCAACUGUUUAUUAAAAACACAGCACUGUGCAAACACGAAAGUGGACGUAUACGGUGUGACGCCUGCCCGGUGCCGGAAGGUUAAUUGAUGGGGUCAGCGCAAGCGAAGCUCUUGAUCGAAGCCCCGGUAAACGGCGGCCGUAACUAUAACGGUCCUAAGGUAGCGAAAUUCCUUGUCGGGUAAGUUCCGACCUGCACGAAUGGCGUAAUGAUGGCCAGGCUGUCUCCACCCGAGACUCAGUGAAAUUGAACUCGCUGUGAAGAUGCAGUGUACCCGCGGCAAGACGGAAAGACCCCGUGAACCUUUACUAUAGCUUGACACUGAACAUUGAGCCUUGAUGUGUAGGAUAGGUGGGAGGCUUUGAAGUGUGGACGCCAGUCUGCAUGGAGCCGACCUUGAAAUACCACCCUUUAAUGUUUGAUGUUCUAACGUGGACCCGUGAUCCGGGUUGCGGACAGUGUCUGGUGGGUAGUUUGACUGGGGCGGUCUCCUCCUAAAGAGUAACGGAGGAGCACGAAGGUUGGCUAAUCCUGGUCGGACAUCAGGAGGUUAGUGCAAUGGCAUAAGCCAGCUUGACUGCGAGCGUGACGGCGCGAGCAGGUGCGAAAGCAGGUCAUAGUGAUCCGGUGGUUCUGAAUGGAAGGGCCAUCGCUCAACGGAUAAAAGGUACUCCGGGGAUAACAGGCUGAUACCGCCCAAGAGUUCAUAUCGACGGCGGUGUUUGGCACCUCGAUGUCGGCUCAUCACAUCCUGGGGCUGAAGUAGGUCCCAAGGGUAUGGCUGUUCGCCAUUUAAAGUGGUACGCGAGCUGGGUUUAGAACGUCGUGAGACAGUUCGGUCCCUAUCUGCCGUGGGCGCUGGAGAAUUGAGGGGGGCUGCUCCUAGUACGAGAGGACCGGAGUGGACGCAUCACUGGUGUUCGGGUUGUCAUGCCAAUGGCACUGCCCGGUAGCUAAAUGCGGAAGAGAUAAGUGCUGAAAGCAUCUAAGCACGAAACUUGCCCCGAGAUGAGUUCUCCCUGACUCCUUGAGAGUCCUGAAGGAACGUUGAAGACGACGACGUUGAUAGGCCGGGUGUGUAAGCGCAGCGAUGCGUUGAGCUAACCGGUACUAAUGAACCGUGAGGCUUAACCUUACAACGCCGAAGGUGUUU